Molecule: ribosomal RNA, 756 nt
Filed under: Flavobacterium sp.
Lineage: Bacteria; Pseudomonadati; Bacteroidota; Flavobacteriia; Flavobacteriales; Flavobacteriaceae
Description: bacterial SSU rRNA
Rfam family: Bacterial small subunit ribosomal RNA
Source: RNAcentral
UGAGACCGGCGCACGGGUGCGUAACGCGUAUGCAAUCUACCUUUCACAGAGGGAUAGCCCAGAGAAAUUUGGAUUAAUACCUCAUAGUAUAGCAGUCUCGCAUGAGACCACUAUUAAAGAUUUAUCGGUGAAAGAUGAGCAUGCGUCCCAUUAGCUAGUUGGUAUGGUAACGGCAUACCAAGGCUACGAUGGGUAGGGGUCCUGAGAGGGAGAUCCCCCACACUGGUACUGAGACACGGACCAGACUCCUACGGGAGGCAGCAGUGAGGAAUAUUGGACAAUGGGCGCAAGCCUGAUCCAGCCAUGCCGCGUGCAGGAUGACGGUCCUAUGGAUUGUAAACUGCUUUUAUACAGGAAGAAACACCUCUACGUGUAGAGACUUGACGGUACUGUAAGAAUAAGGAUCGGCUAACUCCGUGCCAGCAGCCGCGGUAAUACGGAGGAUCCAAGCGUUAUCCGGAAUCAUUGGGUUUAAAGGGUCCGUAGGCGGUUUAGUAAGUCAGUGGUGAAAGCCCAUCGCUCAACGGUGGAACGGCCAUUGAUACUGCUAGACUUGAAUUAUUAGGAAGUAACUAGAAUAUGUAGUGUAGCGGUGAAAUGCUUAGAGAUUACAUGGAAUACCAAUUGCGAAGGCAGGUUACUACUAAUAUAUUGACGCUGAUGGACGAAAGCGUGGGUAGCGAACAGGAUUAGAUACCCUGGUAGUCCACGCCGUAAACGAUGGAUACUAGCUGUUGGGAGCAAUCUCAGUGGCUA